GUUCUUGCUUUGACAGCACAUAUACCAAAAUUGAAAUGAUACAGAGAAAAUAAGCAUGGCCCAAUGCAAGGCUGAGAAGCAAAUUCGUGUUGUUCCAUAUUAAG
Lynx canadensis (Canada lynx) is the source of this 104-nucleotide small nuclear RNA. The record is from RefSeq and is a predicted model, not a curated record. NCBI's taxonomy places the organism in Eukaryota, Metazoa, Chordata, Mammalia, Carnivora, Felidae.